AGAUUGAACGCUGGCGGUAUGCUUAACACAUGCAAGUCGAACGGUAACAGGAGAGAGCUUGCUCUCUUGCUGACGAGUGGCGGACGGGUGAGUAACGCGUAAGAAUCUGCCUAGUAGUGGGGGAUAACUACCGGAAACGGUAGCUAAUACCGCAUACGCCCUACGGGGGAAAGUGGGGGACCUUCGGGCCUCACGCUAUUAGAUGAGCUUGCGUAGGAUUAGCUAGUUGGUGAGGUAAUGGCUCACCAAGGCGACGAUCCUUAGCUGGUUUGAGAGAACGAUCAGCCACACUGGGACUGAGACACGGCCCAGACUCCUACGGGAGGCAGCAGUGGGGAAUAUUGGACAAUGGGCGCAAGCCUGAUCCAGCAAUACCGCGUGUGUGAAGAAGGCCUGAGGGUUGUAAAGCACUUUCAAUUGUGAAGAAAAGCCUGAGGUUAAUAGCCUCGAGUCUUGACGUUAACUUUAGAAGAAGCACCGGCUAACUCCGUGCCAGCAGCCGCGGUAAUACGGAGUGUGCAAGCGUUAAUCGGAAUUACUGGGCGUAAAGCGUGCGUAGGUGGUUUAGUAAGUCAGAUGUGAAAGCCCUGGGCUCAACCUGGGAACUGCAUUUGAUACUGCUGAACUAGAGUAUGGUAGAGGGAAGUGGAAUUCAGGGUGUAGCGGUGAAAUGCGUAGAUAUCCUGAGGAACACCAGUGGCGAAGGCGACUUCCUGGACCGAUACUGACACUGAGGCACGAAAGCGUGGGUAGCAAACAGGAUUAGAUACCCUGGUAGUCCACGCCGUAAACGAUGUCAACUAGUUGUUGGGAGCAUUUUGGCUUUUAGUAACGUAGCUAACGCGAUAAGUUGACCGCCUGGGGAGUACGGCCGCAAGGUUA
Molecule: ribosomal RNA, 882 nt
Filed under: uncultured bacterium
Lineage: Bacteria
Description: bacterial SSU rRNA
Rfam family: Bacterial small subunit ribosomal RNA
Source: RNAcentral